Molecule: ribosomal RNA, 1620 nt
Filed under: Trachemys scripta scripta
Lineage: Eukaryota; Metazoa; Chordata; Testudines; Emydidae
Description: 16S ribosomal RNA
Rfam family: Bacterial large subunit ribosomal RNA (bases 140-1507)
Source: RNAcentral
GCAAUUAAAUCUAGCCCAACAACAGACAAUUAAUCCCACCAAACAAUAAUUACACUACCAAAAACUUAACUAAAACAUUCUACUAUCUAAGUAUAGGUGAUAGAAAAGUAAAACAGGAGCAAUAAAGAUAGUACCGCAAGGGAAAGAUGAAAAACAUGAAAAACCACUAAGCAACAAAAAGCAAAGAUUAACCCUUAUACCUCUUGCAUCAUGAUUUAACCAGCACACUUAAGCAAAGAGAACUAAAGUCUAAACCCCCGAAACCAAGUGAGCUACUUAAAGGCAGCCAAUAUCACAGGCUAAACCCGUCUCUGUGGCAAAAGAGUGGAAAGACCUAUAAGUAGAAGUGAAAAGCCUAUCGAACUUGGUGAUAGCUGGUUGCUCAAUAAAUGAAUGUAAGUUCAACCUUAAAUCUUCUAAAAACAACCUAAAGUUUACCCAAAAGAAAAGUUUAAGAUAUAUUCAAUCGGGGUACAGCCCAAUUGAAAAAGGACACAACCUAAAAUGGAGGACAAAACACCAAAAUAUAUUACUCCGUAGGCCUUAAAGCAGCCACCAUCAAAGAAAGCGUCAAAGCCCACUAUUAUGUAAAUACUAACAUAAAACUUUUACCCCCAAAUAAUACUGAGCCAUUCUACCCCUAUAGAAGAACCAAUGCUAAAAUGAGUAACAAGAAGAAAAACUUCUCUUACGCGCCAGCUUAAAUCAUAAUAGAUAAACUACUGAUUAUUAACAAUUAAUAGUAUAUGAAACAACAACACUUAAAACACCAUAUAACUAAACUGUUAACCCGACACAGGAGCGCACAUAAGAAAGAUUAAAAUCCGUAAAAGGAACUAGGCAAACUAAACGAACCCGACUGUUUACCAAAAACAUAGCCCCUAGCAACACACAAGUAUUGGGGGUAAUGCCUGCCCAGUGACACUGUUUUAAACGGCCGCGGUAUCCUAACCGUGCAAAGGUAGCGUAAUCACUUGUCUUCUAAAUAAAGACUAGAAUGAAUGGCCAAACGAGGUUCUACCUGUCUCUUACAGAUAAUCAGUGAAAUUGGUCUCCCCGUGCAAAAGCGAGGAUAAUCCUAUAAGACGAGAAGACCCUGUGGAACUUUAAACACAAAUCAACUACCAUCAAACACCAAACUAAGGAUUUAUGACCAACUAGUAUAUGAUCCACGUUUUCGGUUGGGGCGACCUCGGAGUAAAGCACAACCUCCGAAAAAAGAGCAUACUUCUCUAAACCUAGACUUACAACUCAAAGUGCUAACAGCAAAAAGAUCCAAUAUAUUUGAUCAACGAACUAAGCUACCCCAGGGAUAACAGCGCAAUCCCAUCCUAGAGCCCUUAUCGACGAUGGGGUUUACGACCUCGAUGUUGGAUCAGGACAUCCUGAUGGUGAAACCGCUAUCAAGGGUUCGUUUGUUCAACGAUUAAUAGUCCUACGUGAUCUGAGUUCAGACCGGAGCAAUCCAGGUCGGUUUCUAUCUAUAUGAAUCUUGAGUCUUUUCUAGUACGAAAGGACCGAAAAGACAGGGCCUACAUUAAAAACAAGCCUUACCUUACAUUAGUGAAGACAACUAAACUAAUAAUUAAAAUAUUAAACCACAACUUCAAAAUAAGAGUC